This 460-nucleotide ribosomal RNA is filed under the name uncultured bacterium. RNAcentral describes it as "partial 16S ribosomal RNA". It matches the Rfam family "Bacterial small subunit ribosomal RNA", at positions 338 to 795 of the family's 1533-position model. The record is from RNAcentral.
CCUACGGGUGGCAGCAGUGAGGAAUAUUGGUCAAUGGCCGGAAGGCUGAACCAGCCAUGCCGCGUGAAGGUCAGUGCCCUAUGGGCGUUAAACUUCUUUUGUGCGGGAGCAAUAAUGGUCACGUUUGGCCAGACGAGAGUACCGUACGAAUAAGCAACGGCUAACUACGUGCCAGGAGCCGCGGUAAUACGGGGGAUGCAAGCGUUAUCCGGAUUUAAUGGGUUUAAAGGGUGCGUAGGCUGGGAGGUAAGUCAGCGGUGAAAUGCCCCCGCUCAACGGGGUGAAGUGACAUUGAUACUGCCUUGCUGGAAUGCGGAUGCCGUGGGAGGAAUGUGUGGUGUAGCGGUGAAAUGCAUAGAUAUCACACAGAACACCGAUUGCGAAGGCAUCUCACGAAUCCGCGAUUGACGCUGAUGCACGAAAGCGUGGGUAUCAAACAGGAUUAGAUACCCCAGUAGUC